GACGAACGCUGGCGGCGUGCUUAACACAUGCAAGUCGAACGCUGAGGCCCAGCUUGCUGGGUGGAUGAGUGGCGAACGGGUGAGUAACACGUGAGUAACCUGCCCCCUUCUUUGGGAUAACGCCCGGAAACGGGUGCUAAUACUGGAUAUUCACUGGCCUUCGCAUGGGGGUUGGUGGAAAGGUUUUUCUGGUGGGGGAUGGGCUCGCGGCCUAUCAGCUUGUUGGUGGGGUGAUGGCCUACCAAGGCUUUGACGGGUAGCCGGCCUGAGAGGGUGACCGGUCACAUUGGGACUGAGAUACGGCCCAGACUCCUACGGGAGGCAGCAGUGGGGAAUAUUGCACAAUGGGCGAAAGCCUGAUGCAGCGACGCCGCGUGAGGGAUGACGGCCUUCGGGUUGUAAACCUCUUUCGCUCAUGGUCAAGCCGCAGCUUUGGGUUGUGGUGAGGGUAGUGGGUAAAGAAGCGCCGGCUAACUACGUGCCAGCAGCCGCGGUAAUACGUAGGGCGCGAGCGUUGUCCGGAAUUAUUGGGCGUAAAGGGCUUGUAGGCGGUUGGUCGCGUCUGCCGUGAAAUCCUCUGGCUUAACUGGGGGCGUGCGGUGGGUACGGGCUGACUUGAGUGCGGUAGGGGAGACUGGAACUCCUGGUGUAGCGGUGGAAUGCGCAGAUAUCAGGAAGAACACCGGUGGCGAAGGCGGGUCUCUGGGCCGUUACUGACGCUGAGGAGCGAAAGCGUGGGGAGCGAACAGG
RNAcentral lists this ribosomal RNA (750 nucleotides) under uncultured Actinomyces sp. RNAcentral's name for it is "bacterial SSU rRNA". It matches the Rfam family "Bacterial small subunit ribosomal RNA", at positions 28 to 776 of the family's 1533-position model. Lineage: Bacteria; Bacillati; Actinomycetota; Actinomycetes; Actinomycetales; Actinomycetaceae. The record is from RNAcentral.